GACAGUAAAAGAUAAGAAAUCCGUAAAUCGUAGCAAGCCAGCCAAUGCUUGUCAGUAGCCUACUGGUACUCGGUAGGUCCUCAAGAUGGCGGCAUAACGUAAAAAGUCACAUGACUGAAACCCAUGUAUAUACUCACGAUCAGGGCUGGACUCGGAUUCUGGCCGGGCAAGUGCUGGUGGGCUGACGCACUUGGGGGCUGGUCGUUAUAAUAUGAUUUUUUUUUAUUGGCCAACGACCUAACCCACGAGACACCUAAUCAGCAGUCCAUUGGUUCUUUUUUAUUUCACUUUUAUCUACCCCAAACAUGCUCUUUGGGAGCAUGCAGUGUCAGUGUGUGCAUGCAUCUGUUAAAAAUAGAGACGAGGGAGAAGCAAGUGGAAGUGCGACUCAAAACAGUCAGUCAAAAGGUAUACUUACGAAGACAAAGAAACUCAGGGGAUAGCUCUUAAAAGACACUCACUGGAGCUGUAAAUGGGAAGCAGGUCACUUACUUUGCAUUCGUCCUUGGUGGUCACCCCAGGGUCUCUGGAGUGAAAAUUACUCAAUCUAUGGAUUAAACAGAAUAUUUAGUUGUAUGAAGUGCAAUUUGGGACAUUCUUCCAUUUGUCGGCAACUUUGUGAAAAAGGCUAGAAACUAAAAUGCAGAAUUCUGGCCUGGUGUUUGGUCUGUGCUGUCUUUGGCUCUUGCAUCGCCAUCAUCCUGACCCUCUUUAGCAGCCUGUCCAUGUAUUUAUUUGGAGGCCACCAUGAGCACCCAUCUGCAUAAUAUGACUUUGUUACUCAGAUGUCCAUGCGCUCCUACAAAUUCUACAUUUUUUGUAAAGCUGCAACAAGUUGAAACCCUAUAAUUAUUAACGUUUGAUUUUGAACUAUGUAAUUAAAAUACAUGAAUAAGUAACAAAAGCAGAAAUCUAUUAAGACAUUACCUUUUUGUUGCUUGUUUACUGAUCUAUCAAUCCUUUUGCAUUUUCAUAAUUGAUCAUCAUAACUUGGUAUACAGUGGAUGUGUGGCUGUAGAUAACUUUCUGAAGUCAAUUUAAAAAGACAAAAGUUAAUAAAUGCUGAAUUGGUCAAAUAUACAUUGUUGUAUUUCCACCAUUUUGAUGUUUAGGCAUUUCAUAACUUGAGGGUUAAUUCACGUAUACUGAUGUUUCAAAUCAAAGAUUAAUUUAUUAAUGACAGCUAAUUAUUUUAUAAAGAUUUUUAUUACAAUAUUUAUUUAUAUAAUAUAAAUUUAAUACAUUUAAUUCGUUACACCUACAUCACUGAGCGCAAGGGAGUGCAGCCAACAAAUACAUUCAGGUGUGUUUGACUUAACACCGAGAUGCGCAGACAGCACGUGGUAUGACAUCAAAGUACCGCGAGAGUUUGGGAAAGCCCCGGAAAAGGUUUGAACUCGCGGUAUUUGAUGAUCGGUUUGCGUGUAGAUCAGCAUGAAGUCGAACACAUCUGAAAGAUGUGUGGGCUGCCUGCACUCAACGUUGCGAUAAUUCAGUAGAGUGUAACCUAGUCGUUUUUUGCAGCUUCUGGGUGUCGUGUCGAACGAUAGCAGAACGAUCUUUUGUUCUUUUCCAACUCGAUUUUUAACUCCCUAAACUAGUAGGAUGUUCCAACGGGUGAAGCAACAGUGCUGACGGCAGAGUUUCAGUGUCAAUGCUCCGUCCUAGAAGGCUGCAUGUCUCGGCUGCCACGUCAUCAAGCAUCGUCGAAGGACAUCUCAAUCUGCUUGUUUUCUCUUUUGUUGUUUUAAUUUAAUUACAAAAUGUUUAACUGUCCAUGUUGUAAAGACAGUUGAUUACAUAACUUUUAUUUACUGUACUACAUUAUUGGAUUUUUUUUGGUGAUGCAUUGCUAAUUUUCAACUUCUCACUUUAAAGUUUUCAUGCCAUGAUCACUGGGGUGGAAACCAUUAUGACGUUGCCUUGGACAUCAAACUAAACCAUCUCAUUCUGGCUUUUUUCUAACAUCGAAAUCUCAGAAGGACAGGACUAAGAUGGACGCAGCCUCCACAGGAUGCAACCUUGCAUUUGAGGAACACCCAUAGAACGGUUAACCUAACCCAGUGUUUCUCAAACUUUUUCUGCCAUUCCCCACUUUGGAGGUAGGGAAGGGUUUCGAGCCCCACCUGUCCUUAAUCGCCCAAACAAAAUGGUAAUCAACUAGGCUUUAAGUUUAACUGUUAAAAUGUAUUUAAUCACAUCAUAUUAUAAACCAUAACAGCAUAAACACUUUCAAAAGAGCAAGAAAUGUGCAAAUGUGUUAUCCCUUUGCAUGAAAUUAGACUUUUUUCAAAUGUAAAAAAUAAUAUUGCAACUGUUUGCAUUUUGAUUCUUACAAAAUUCAUCAUACUUUCUUUUUGGCUGUCUUUUUGGUUUAUUAGGUCCACUGUCUGUCUUGGUUUUCUCUGCUGGUGCUGAAUCCAGUUUUCUUCUCAUUUCGUGUCACAAAACUAUCCAUUAUUAACUUUUAUACCCGCUACCACCUAUACCGCCUCUCUACAUUCAAGUUUUUGAUCAGCUUCAAUUAACAUUCCGACAUUACUGAUGUGUUUCGCGUGACAUUUUCUUCAAAGUCUGAUGUUGUUUUAAAUUUCCUCCCGUUUGUCAUGCCCCACUUGUAAUGUUCCCAUUCCCCACUAGUGGGGCCCGCCCCACACUUUGAGAAACUCUGACCUAACCUGAUACUCUAACCUGAAUGCAGGGAUCAUAAAACUUUAUCUUUUACCUUAAUUGUUAGAUGGGUGUCGAUACAAAACUUUUUUUUCUCGUCUACCCAGGAGAAAGUCAUGGGUUCUGCUGCUGAGGUUGUCAUAAAGCAUGCUUUUUCCAUUUGUUGCAUUGGGCAAUAUUAUCAAAAGAUUCUGAAAGAAAUAAGAUAAUUUUCAAAGCAUUAACAUGAAUAUGAAAGCAUUAGGUCAUUAAUGACCAUCUUUUAUUAUUGUUUAUUUACAGUGUCUUUAAUUCUGCUUACCUGACUCAUGCAGAAUUCUGGCUUGAUGUUCGGUCCACCUGUUAGCUGGCUCUGGUGCUUGGUAGUCUUCUCAAACCUCUGAAUCAAGGCCACCAUGAGAGGCCUUCUGAAGACCAUCAUUACGCUUCAGAUCCAGUUGUCUUUACUAUGAGAUGGGACUGAACUGGAGUCUGUGAACUAAUGCUGUGUUCGAGACAACUUGGAUGUUGGAUAUUAUUGACCUCAAACCCGUAAGAAGUCUGGAACAGCAAACAAAGUUGAGUAUCGGACCUCUCAACUUGGGACAGAUCGAUCAACACCGACCUAAACGAGAUGCAUCAUUUGACAUUGCAGACAAGUUUGUGGCUAGCCUUUCACAGCCUUACAUGAACCGUAAACAAACUUUAAACUAUUUUUACAGCACAUAAUAUUUAUGAACAUGAAUGUUAAAUUAUCCAGUAACCGUUUUCUGCCAUAAUUGGCACAAGAGCACAAACAACUUCUGGCGUCUCAUUAUGUGGUAAACACGCAAAUGUGAUAUGUGAUUGACUGGAAUGCAUUGAGGUCGGAGGUAGGAUAUUUAAUGACAUAACAUCAGAAAUCUGAGUUGUCUGUAACACUGUACAAUAUUUCACAUAAUUGUCACCACCUGAUUAUCCUCCCAUGUUUUUAACACAACCAUUGAUUGGUCACACGGAUGAAGGCAGCAAGCAGAGACAUUUAAUGUUAAAAAACACUUACAGUAGACUGUGUUAGAUAACUGUGCUCUUGGAAGUCAGCUUAAGUUAAUGUCAGGGUUUGGAACACUCAAAACACGAACCCAGAUGCAGACAUAAAUAACAAAGGAAUUUAUUAACAAAACCGGGGAAAACAGAAAAACAAAACCCACGAGGGGGCAAAACAAGACAAGGGAAAACAAUACUAAACUAACACUAAACUUAACAAAAACUAACAAUAAACUUCCAACACAUAAACAGAUCAAGACUUGGAUAUAUCAAAAACUUACAGGAACCGACAGGGAAUAAGACAAGACGAACGUGCACAGAACAGCAAACACAAGGACAAUAAAUAGGGAGAACUAAUGAGGGACACAGCUGAAAUCAAUGACAAGUAAGGGAGCGGGUAAAAAGUGACAAGACAAGAGAAACACGUGGCUGGGUAAAAACACUUGAUGCCACGUGUUCCCACACAAAACAUGAUACUGUCAGAACCCUGCCACAAAGACUAUAAUAUAAGACAUGAUUCUGACAGGAUCCUGACAGUACCCCCCCCUUAAGGAGCGACUACCAGACGCUCCUCAGGGGAACACUAAACACGGGACAUAACAGACUGACACACAGACAAAACCCAAGAAAACAUUACAAAUAGUAACAACGGUAAACAAGCAAUAAUGACAAAUGGGUUGGGGUGGGAUAAU
Molecule: non-coding RNA, 4367 nt
Organism: Paramisgurnus dabryanus
Lineage: Eukaryota; Metazoa; Chordata; Actinopteri; Cypriniformes; Cobitidae
Source: RefSeq, a predicted model, not a curated record